RNAcentral lists this ribosomal RNA (627 nucleotides) under Streptomyces sp. D334. RNAcentral's name for it is "bacterial SSU rRNA". It matches the Rfam family "Bacterial small subunit ribosomal RNA", at positions 56 to 701 of the family's 1533-position model. The record is from RNAcentral. Lineage: Bacteria; Bacillati; Actinomycetota; Actinomycetes; Kitasatosporales; Streptomycetaceae.
UGCAGUCGAACGAUGAACCACUUCGGUGGGGAUUAGUGGCGAACGGGUGAGUAACACGUGGGCAAUCUGCCCUGCACUCUGGGACAAGCCCUGGAAACGGGGUCUAAUACCGGAUAUGAGUCUCCAAGGCAUCUUGGAGGCUGUAAAGCUCCGGCGGUGCAGGAUGAGCCCGCGGCCUAUCAGCUUGUUGGUGAGGUAACGGCUCACCAAGGCGACGACGGGUAGCCGGCCUGAGAGGGCGACCGGCCACACUGGGACUGAGACACGGCCCAGACUCCUACGGGAGGCAGCAGUGGGGAAUAUUGCACAAUGGGCGAAAGCCUGAUGCAGCGACGCCGCGUGAGGGAUGACGGCCUUCGGGUUGUAAACCUCUUUCAGCAGGGAAGAAGCGAAAGUGACGGUACCUGCAGAAGAAGCGCCGGCUAACUACGUGCCAGCAGCCGCGGUAAUACGUAGGGCGCAAGCGUUGUCCGGAAUUAUUGGGCGUAAAGAGCUCGUAGGCGGCUUGUCACGUCGGUUGUGAAAGCCCGGGGCUUAACCCCGGGUCUGCAGUCGAUACGGGCAGGCUAGAGUUCGGUAGGGGAGAUCGGAAUUCCUGGUGUAGCGGUGAAAUGCGCAGAUAUCAGG